This is a non-coding RNA of Oryza glumipatula, 176 nucleotides long. NCBI's taxonomy places the organism in Eukaryota, Viridiplantae, Streptophyta, Magnoliopsida, Poales, Poaceae. The record is from Rfam.
AACCACACUAUCAGUGAAUGGAUUCACCCGCGAGAUGACGUGGUUGUUUCACCUAGGACGAGGACAUGGCAUCCUAUUACCAGCCAUCGCAUGAAAUUAAUAGGAUGCAACGCCCUCAUCCUAGAUGGAACAACCAUGUCAUCUCACGGGUGAAUCCAUUCAUCGAUUGUGUGGUU